Molecule: transfer RNA, 94 nt
Filed under: Deinococcus indicus
Lineage: Bacteria; Thermotogati; Deinococcota; Deinococci; Deinococcales; Deinococcaceae
Description: tRNA-Pro
Source: RNAcentral
UGAAGCGCCUGGAUGCGGUGCAGGACCUCGAAACUCUGGAGGUUCUGGCGGCGUUCGGCGGCGUGCCGGCUGCGUUCGAGCCGCAGCGUCUCGC